GACGAACGCUGGCGGCGUGCCUAAUACAUGCAAGUAGAACGCUGAAGGAGGAGCUUGCUUCUCUGGAUGAGUUGCGAACGGGUGAGUAACGCGUAGGUAACCUGCCUGGUAGCGGGGGAUAACUAUUGGAAACGAUAGCUAAUACCGCAUAAGAGUAGAUGUUGCAUGACAUUUGCUUAAAAGGUGCAAUUGCAUCACUACCAGAUGGACCUGCGUUGUAUUAGCUAGUUGGUGGGGUAACGGCUUACCAAGGCGACGAUACAUAGCCGACCUGAGAGGGGGAUCGGCCAAACUGGGACUGAGACACGGCCCAGACUCCUACGGGAGGCAGCAGUAGGGAAUCUUCGGCAAUGGACGGAAGUCUGACCGAGCAACGCCGCGUGAGUGAAGAAGGGUUUCGGAUCGUAAAGCUCUGUUGUAAGAGAAGAACGAGUGUGAGAGUGGAAAGUUCACACUGUGACGGUAUCUUACCAGAAAGGGACGGCUAACUACGUG
RNAcentral lists this ribosomal RNA (495 nucleotides) under uncultured bacterium. Its description in RNAcentral is "partial 16S ribosomal RNA". It matches the Rfam family "Bacterial small subunit ribosomal RNA", at positions 28 to 507 of the family's 1533-position model. The record is from RNAcentral.